GUUUUAGUAGUUUAAAGUAAAACUUUGGUCUUGUAAAUCAAAAUUAAGGUAUCCAGCCUUCUAAAACU
RNAcentral lists this transfer RNA (68 nucleotides) under Acroneuria hainana. RNAcentral describes it as "tRNA-Thr". It matches the Rfam family "tRNA". From Rfam's summary of the family: Transfer RNA (tRNA) molecules are approximately 80 nucleotides in length. Their secondary structure includes four short double-helical elements and three loops (D, anti-codon, and T loops). Lineage: Eukaryota; Metazoa; Arthropoda; Insecta; Plecoptera; Perlidae. The record is from RNAcentral.